Molecule: long non-coding RNA, 1582 nt
Organism: Pomacea canaliculata
Lineage: Eukaryota; Metazoa; Mollusca; Gastropoda; Architaenioglossa; Ampullariidae
Exons: 4
Source: RefSeq, a predicted model, not a curated record
UGAAAAUUAUUUGGAAGGGAGCAGACGACCGGAGACGAGAGAUAGGAAAGGACAGGCGUGAAAGAGGUCUUACUGUACAUGUGGAUGCAGGGACCGGUUAAUAAGUAAACUAGUUGCUUGCUCAGUCAAGGAACUACAGAGGGACUCACUGGUAGUGUGGAAUCCCCAGCGAAACCGCCUAGACGACGGAGAAGAUUUUUGAGAGAGAGGACGGGCGGAAAACUGAAAAGAGGUCUUGCGGAUACAGAGACGGCUGUGAGCAGUGAAGAGAGGCGGACUGAAAGUGUGGAGUGUCCGGCUUUGGAUCUUGUGUGUUGAUCCCAGGGAAUAUAUUCUUAGUCGUCGACUAGGUGUCUGGCAAGUCAGCACUUAUAUUAAGAACCGGAACGUGUAUGUGGUUUCCCCUAAAAGUUUCGUUAUGGAUAUCAGCCAAGUGUUGCCAAGACUGCACAAUUUCUGGACCAGGGAAAGGGAGGAAUUUACCAGGACGAUUUAUUUUUGGAUGCUGUGGCAAUCACUUUGAGACUGCUUUGAAGGAUGUUCCUCCUGAACAAAGAUGCAAGUGUCCAAAGGAGAGCAAAAUGUAAGGAGCACAAGGCCCACAGCAACAUUCCUGAUUGAAUGAGGCUGUGGCAAUCACAUUGAGACUGCUUUGAAGGAUGUUCCUCCUGAACAAAGAUGCAAGUGUCCAAAGGAGAGCAAAAUGUAAGGAGCACAAGGCCCACAGCAACAUUCCUGAGUGAAUGAGGCUGUGGCAAUCACAUUGAGACUGCUUUGAAGGAUGUUCCUCCUGAACAAAGAUGCAAGUGUCCAAAGGAGAGCAAAAGCAGGUCACCGAGCAGCCAAACACAACAGGGAUAAACAUUACACAAGAAAUAUCUUAUCAGUGACCUCCCUUAUGUCUUCUCGUAAUCUGGAUAAUCUACCUACCUGAAAGUGUUUGUGAGUAGACAUGUUUCUCCUUCCCCUGAUUGAAAUUUAUAUCCCUGAAGAUAAUAUAUGUGGGUGAGUUAUAGCUGCACCUACUUGAAAGUGUUUGUGAGCAGACAGGUUUUUCCUUCCCCUAUUUGAAAUUUAUAUCCGUGAAGAUGGUCAUAGGGUAGGUUAAGGUGGAGGAAAAUUUGUGUAAAUUGUCAGGAAUAUGUUUGUUGGGAUAUGUAUAUUGAUGUAUGCGGUAGUUGGCUUGUUUUUUUUUUCCUGCUGUAAUAUUGUUUAUACAGCUACUACUAGCCGGUGAGUGGCUUUUUUUUUUCCUGAGGGGGAGUGGGGUCUGAAUAAGGGUCCAAAAACAUAAAAACAUAAGAUCAUCACCCAGGGCAAAAUAUGGUGACUAUUUUAUGUCACCUUCCCUUACCUUUCCUUUGUGUUUGUUUGUUUAUUUUUUGUUCAUAUUUUUUGCUAUGUUUUUUGUGCUUUUUGUCUGAGUUCUUGUCAAGCUGAGGCAUGUUUCCAAACUUGAGACUGUUCCUUCUCCCCGCUCCCGUCAAGGAAAAACCCCAAUCACACCACACACAUCCAAAACAAUACUACACUCUUUCCUUUGUUCUUCCAACCAAACAACCUAUCAACAUAAACUUAAUCA